CCNCAGCAAUAGUANANAGCUUGCUUCUCUNAUUUANNGACGGACGGGUGAGUAACACGUGGGCAACCUGCCCUACNNAUUGGGAUAACUCANGGAAACCUGGGCUAAUACCGGAUAAUCCUUCGAAUCACAUGUUUUGAAGUUGAAAGGCGCUUCGGCGUCACUGUAGGAUGGGCCCGCGGUGCAUUAGCUAGUUGGUGGGGUAACGGCCUACCAAGGCAACGAUGCAUAGCCGACCUGAGAGGGUGAUCGGCCACAUUGGGACUGANACACGGCCCAAACUCCUACGGGAGGCAGCAGNAGGGAAUCUUCCACAGUGGACGAAAGUCUGAUGGAGCAACGCCGCGUGAGUGAUGAAGGUUUUCGGAUCGUAAAACUCUGUUGUAAGGGAAGAACAAGUACGUUAGGAAAUGAACGUACCUUGACGGNACCUUAUUANAAAGCCACGGCUAACUACGUGCCA
Molecule: ribosomal RNA, 463 nt
Filed under: uncultured bacterium
Lineage: Bacteria
Description: partial 16S ribosomal RNA
Rfam family: Bacterial small subunit ribosomal RNA
Source: RNAcentral